RNAcentral lists this ribosomal RNA (599 nucleotides) under uncultured Lachnospiraceae bacterium. Its description in RNAcentral is "bacterial SSU rRNA". It matches the Rfam family "Bacterial small subunit ribosomal RNA", at positions 107 to 724 of the family's 1533-position model. Lineage: Bacteria; Bacillati; Bacillota; Clostridia; Lachnospirales; Lachnospiraceae. The record is from RNAcentral.
UGAGUAACGCGUGGGUAACCUGCCUUAUACAGGGGGAUAACAGUCAGAAAUGGCUGCUAAUACCGCAUAAGCGCACAGAGCUGCAUGGCUCAGUGUGAAAAACUCCGGUGGUAUAAGAUGGACCCGCGUUGGAUUAGCUUGUUGGUGGGGUAACGGCCCACCAAGGCGACGAUCCAUAGCCGGCCUGAGAGGGUGAACGGCCACAUUGGGACUGAGACACGGCCCAGACUCCUACGGGAGGCAGCAGUGGGGAAUAUUGCACAAUGGGGGAAACCCUGAUGCAGCGACGCCGCGUGAAGGAAGAAGUAUCUCGGUAUGUAAACUUCUAUCAGCAGGGAAGAUAGUGACGGUACCUGACUAAGAAGCCCCGGCUAACUACGUGCCAGCAGCCGCGGUAAUACGUAGGGGGCAAGCGUUAUCCGGAUUUACUGGGUGUAAAGGGAGCGUAGACGGUGUGGCAAGUCUGAUGUGAAAGGCAUGGGCUCAACCUGUGGACUGCAUUGGAAACUGUCAUACUUGAGUGCCGGAGGGGUAAGCGGAAUUCCUAGUGUAGCGGUGAAAUGCGUAGAUAUUAGGAGGAACACCAGUGGCGAAGGCGG